CUUAAAAUGAAUUGACGGGACCCCGCACAAGCAGCGGAGCGUGUGGUUUAAUUCGAGGCUACACGAAGAACCUUACCAGGGUUUGACAUGCAAGUGGUAGGAAUCCGAAAGGUGACCGACCCUUCGGGAGCUUGCACAGGUGCUGCAUGGCUGUCGUCAGCUCGUGUCGUGAGAUGUUGGGUUAAGUCCCGCAACGAGCGCAACCCUUGUCAUUAGUUGCCAUCAUUUGGUUGGGCACUCUAAUGAGACUGCCGGUGACAAACCGGAGGAAGGUGGGGAUGACGUCAAGUCCUCAUGGCCCUUAUGGGUAGGGCUUCACACGUCAUACAAUGGUCGGUACAGAGGGUUGCCAACCCGCGAGGGGGAGCUAAUCCCACAAAGCCGAUCGUAGUCCGGAUCGCAGUCUGCAACUCGACUGCGUGAAGUCGGAAUCGCUAGUAAUCGUGGAUCAGCAUGUCACGGUGAAUACGUUCCCGGGUCUU
RNAcentral lists this ribosomal RNA (482 nucleotides) under uncultured Rhodocyclaceae bacterium. Its description in RNAcentral is "bacterial SSU rRNA". It matches the Rfam family "Bacterial small subunit ribosomal RNA", at positions 903 to 1382 of the family's 1533-position model. Lineage: Bacteria; Pseudomonadati; Pseudomonadota; Betaproteobacteria; Rhodocyclales; Rhodocyclaceae. The record is from RNAcentral.